AACACCAUUGCUCAUUCAUCCUUGCAACUCUUUUCAGUGGCACACAACAAAUCUUAGAAGAACCAUGAAGUUCAUCUGUCUUUUCUUUGCUGUGGUCUUCCUUGGUAGAGCCCAGGCUGAUGAAGCCGAUGUGGAUCAAGGGGAAGAGCAAGACUUGAGUGGUCCUCAGGACCAAAACCCAGCUUUGCCAGCUGGUUAUGAUGAAGCUUUGAAGAAUGAAGGAAACAUGCAACGGAGGAAUGGUACCGGUCAAUGUAAGAGUGGUGGCCAUAAAUACUUUUUCGGGCAUCUGCCCUUGUGGAUCUGUGCCCCCUGGAAAAUGCAGUUCUUUCGAGAGCUGUUGUAAAGAAGUUCCCCUCCCAAGUAAUCCCAUCGUAUGCAAUUCUAUGGGGGGGAGAUGCCGUCACAAGUGUGGUCUCUCUGAGAAGUAUGUUGGACGAUGCUUUGCAACUAUGUCCUGCUGUGUGCGUUUUCAGUAGAGAGCAUGCGCGAGAAAGAGGCAAGAAAGACCAACAGCGUAUGAUCGGAAGAGAGGAAGAAACCGAUCGAGAUGAAUUAAUGCUAAAUCAUUCCUUUUCAAUUAAAAUUGAGUUUGCAUCCAAUCAUUCUUACUCCAGGGACUCAAUUACUCCUAGUUAUCACUAGCGCUGAACUACCACUGCUGUUGUAACUACUACUACAAACUCUCCCUGUGCCCCGAGUUAUCCGAAAAAGUCUCAAUUUUCUUGAUUUCUUGAUUUGAUUUUAUUUAUUUUAUUUCUAUGCAACUGUUCAUCCACAUGAAUCUCAAAGCAGCUUUGAAAGAGCAAAUAACAAUAACAGAACAGAACAUCACAAAUCAUAUAGAAUGAUGAACAAAUCAGUAAAACACUAUUAACAAAACAACAACAACAAAAAGCAAAGCAGCAUAAUCACAACAGAAGUCAUAUUAUGGGAUUCACGAAGUACUACAGCAUUCACAAUCUAUAAAACAAUCUUAACAGCAUUAACAAAAUAGCAAACAAAAAAAUAAACUAAGCCCUGUUGAAUUCAUACACAAACUCUUCUCAAAUCUCAUGAUUUCAGCUCAUUAAAAUACACAUCGACAUCUUGCCCAUGGCAGGAACUCCUUUCUGAAGGUUUAUUGGGUUGGAUGUG
Long non-coding RNA from Podarcis muralis (Common wall lizard), 1137 nucleotides. RefSeq lists it as uncharacterized. The record is from RefSeq and is a predicted model, not a curated record. NCBI's taxonomy places the organism in Eukaryota, Metazoa, Chordata, Lepidosauria, Squamata, Lacertidae.